GCCGAAGUAGCUCAGUUGGGAGAGCGUUAGACUGGACCUCUAAAGGUCCUCGGAUCAAUCCUGAGUUUUGGCA
Molecule: non-coding RNA, 73 nt
Organism: Nerophis lumbriciformis (worm pipefish)
Lineage: Eukaryota; Metazoa; Chordata; Actinopteri; Syngnathiformes; Syngnathidae
Source: the annotation of a RefSeq genome assembly